UAUAACACUUCUUUUUCUAUGUGU
Molecule: non-coding RNA, 24 nt
Filed under: Arabidopsis thaliana (thale cress)
Lineage: Eukaryota; Viridiplantae; Streptophyta; Magnoliopsida; Brassicales; Brassicaceae
Source: RNAcentral